CGCAGCUAACGCACUAAGUUGACCGCCUGGGGAGUACGGCCGCAAGGUUAAAACUCAAAUGAAUUGACGGGGGCCCGCACAAGCGGUGGAGCAUGUGGUUUAAUUCGACGCAACGCGAAGAACCUUACCUGGCCUUGACAUCCAGAGAACUUUCCAGAGAUGGAUUGGUGCCUUCGGGAACUCUGUGACAGGUGCUGCAUGGCCGUCGUCAGCUCGUGUCGUGAGAUGUUGGGUUAAGUCCCGUAACGAGCGCAACCCCUAUCCCUGGUUGCUAGCAGGUAAUGCUGAGAACUCCAGGGAGACUGCCGGUGACAGACCGGAGGAAGGUGGGGAUGACGUCAGGUCAUCAUGGCCCUUACGGCCAGGGCUACACACGUGCUACAAUGGCGCGUACAGAGGGCUGCGAACUCGCGAGAGUAAGCCAAUCCCUUAAAACGCGUCGUAGUCCGGAUCGGAGUCUGCAACUCAACUCCGUGAAGUCGGAACCGCUAGUAAUCGCGAAUCAGAAUGUCGCGGUGAAUACGUUCCCGGGCCUUGUACACACCGCCCGUCACACCAUGGGAGUGGAUUGCACCAGAAGUGGUUAGUCUAACCUUCGGGAGGACGAUCACCACGGUGUGGUUCAUGACUGG
RNAcentral lists this ribosomal RNA (632 nucleotides) under uncultured bacterium. RNAcentral's name for it is "bacterial SSU rRNA". It matches the Rfam family "Bacterial small subunit ribosomal RNA", at positions 847 to 1478 of the family's 1533-position model. The record is from RNAcentral.